UAGGGAAUAUUGGACAAUGGGCGCAAGCCUGAUCCAGCAACGCCGCGUGAAUGAUGAAGGCCUUAGGGUUGUAAAAUUCUUUCGCCAGGGAAGAUAAUGACUGUACCUGGUAAAGAAGCCCCGGCUAACUCCGUGCCAGCAGCCGCGGUAAUACGGAGGGGGCUAGCGUUGUUCGGAAUUACUGGGCGUAAAGCGUGCGUAGGCGGACUGGAAAGUCAGAUGUGAAAUCCCGGGGCUCAACCCCGGAACUGCAUUUGAAACUGUUAGUCUAGAGUUCUGGAGAGGUAAGUGGAAUUCCUAGUGUAGAGGUGAAAUUCGUAGAUAUUAGGAGGAACACCAGAGGCGAAGGCGGCUUACUGGACAGAUACUGACGCUGAGGCACGAAAGUGUGGGGAGCAAACAGGAUUAGAUACCCGCGUAGUCC
Molecule: ribosomal RNA, 424 nt
Filed under: uncultured prokaryote
Description: bacterial SSU rRNA
Rfam family: Bacterial small subunit ribosomal RNA
Source: RNAcentral